RNAcentral lists this ribosomal RNA (253 nucleotides) under uncultured bacterium. RNAcentral describes it as "partial 16S ribosomal RNA". It matches the Rfam family "Bacterial small subunit ribosomal RNA", at positions 524 to 776 of the family's 1533-position model. The record is from RNAcentral.
UACAGAGGUCCCAAGCGUUGUUCGGAUUUACUGGGCGUAAAGGGUGCGUAGGCGGCACGGAAAGUUCGGGGUGAAAUCUCUAGGCUCAACUUGGAAACUGCCUUGAAUACUUCCGUGCUCGAGGGCCGCAGAGGAGAUUGGAAUUCUCGGUGUAGCAGUGAAAUGCGUAGAUAUCGAGAGGAACAUCAGUGGCGAAAGCGAAUCUCUGGGCGGCAUCUGACGCUGAGGCACGAAAGCCAGGGGAGCAAACGGG